This 1950-nucleotide ribosomal RNA is filed under the name Triticum aestivum (bread wheat). RNAcentral's name for it is "partial small subunit ribosomal RNA". The record is from RNAcentral. Lineage: Eukaryota; Viridiplantae; Streptophyta; Magnoliopsida; Poales; Poaceae.
AUGAGGUCCGGAGGCGCCGCCGAGGUGAUAGAUCUCUCCAGCGACGACGACGAGGAGUCCCUCCCCUUUCCCAGCACCAGCGCCGUCACCAUCGCCCCCUCCUCCCCCCGCGAUGUCAAGCCGUACGAGCUCGCCGAUGUGAAGCCCCUGCUUUACCCGAUCCAGCCCCCAGGCUGCUACGCGCUCGUGCCCGUCAAGGACGAGGAACCCGUGCCCUUGCCACUCGCCGCCGAAGCCCCCAGGGUCCUCCCCCCGCCGCGCCUCUGCCGCCAAUUCUGGAAGUCCGGCGAGUAUGUUGUAGCCCGCCGCAACCCUGACGCCGAUGCCCCUGGUGGGCGGAAUCGGCUGAGGAUCAAUCCAAAGUUCCUGCACUCAAAUGCUACUUCUCACAAGUGGGCAUUUGGCGCCAUUGCUGAGCUUCUUGAUAACGCUAUUGAUGAGGUGAAUAAUGGGGCAACAUUUGUUCGUGUUAAUAAAUUCACAAACCCACGGGAUGGUAGUCCCUCAUUGUUGGUUCAAGAUGAUGGAGGGGGGAUGGAUCCAGAUGCACUGCGAUGUUGCAUGAGCUUUGGAUUUUCAGAUAAGCAGUCUGAUGCUUUCAUCGGACAAUAUGGCAAUGGUUUCAAAACAAGCACAAUGAGGCUUGGAGCAGAUGUGAUUGUUUUUACACAGAACCAAAAAAACUGGACACCGACAAGAAGUAUUGGUCUUCUUUCUUACACAUUUCUGAUGGAAACAGGCUGCGAUGAUGUAUUGGUGCCAACAGUAGACUACCAAUAUGAUCUUACAACUGCUUCAUAUACUCAGCUGUUACGUCAUAAUCAGAAACUCUUCUCUUCUAAUUUGGCGAUCCUUUCGAAAUGGUCCCCUUUUGCUAGUGAAGCUGAGUUGCUUAAACAAUUUGAUGAUAUCGGGGAGCAUGGGACGAAGAUAAUUGUAUUCAACCUCUGGUUCAAUGAUGAUGGGGACAUGGAGCUUGAUUUCAACUCCGAUAAGAAGGAUAUUCUCAUUACUGGGGCACAGAAGAAGGUCAAAACCAACAAACAUGAGAAGCUUGUGACUCAGGACUACAUUGCAAAUCGACUUCGUUAUUCACUUAGAGCAUACGCCUCCAUCUUGUAUCUUCGUGUACCUGAUAGUUUCAGGAUAAUCCUGCGUGGACAGGAUGUGGAACCACAUAAUGUAGUUAAUGAUUUGUUGUAUCGUGAAUGUGUGUUGUAUAAACCACAAAUCGCUGGACUUCCAGAGCUAUCUAUAGUCACAACCAUCGGAUUUGUCAAAGGUGCCCCAGACACUGAUGUACAAGGAUUCAACGUUUAUCACAAGAAUCGUUUAAUAACGCCUUUUUGGAAAGUUGCCAGCAACUCAUAUGGCAAAGGGCGGGGAGUUGUGGGUAUUCUUGAUGCGAGUUUCAUCAAACCUACCCACGACAAGCAGGACUUUGAGAAGUCAGUCCUUUAUCAAAGGCUCGAGAAUCGUUUGAAAGAAAUGACUUACGAAUACUGGGGCCUGCAUUGCCAUCGCCUUGGUUAUGAUAACAAGUCAUUACCUAAAGCAUCCCGUGCACUUUAUCGUGCUAAGCAGACGGGCGCUGGUACUUCGCCAGCAAGUGUUCCUCAUCAGUUACUGACUGCUGAUGUUCCAACAAGCAGCUGUGCACAGAGUAGCAUGGGACAGAAGAGAAAUUUCGAUGCCCUCGGAGUCAUCAGCAACAUAAAUAAUCACCAGACGAAGCAUCGGGAUGUUAUUCAACGAAAACGAUUUCAUGAAUACAAGACCUUGACACUUGAAAAUGACAAAUUGCGUGAUGAAUGCUUACAAUACGAGGAAUCAGAGAAGCAACUUGUCGAAAAGGAACAAAAGCUCCGGUAUCAAAUUGCUAAGGAAACAAAGAAGUAUGAGGAAUUAUUAGAAGAGCUCAAAUUAUUAGAUGUGAAGUUAGAGACAUAG